RNAcentral lists this ribosomal RNA (253 nucleotides) under uncultured bacterium. RNAcentral's name for it is "partial 16S ribosomal RNA". It matches the Rfam family "Bacterial small subunit ribosomal RNA", at positions 524 to 776 of the family's 1533-position model. The record is from RNAcentral.
UACGUAGGGGGCAAGCGUUGUCCGGAAUCAUUGGGCGUAAAGCGCGUGUAGGCGGCUGAGUAAGUCUGCUCUGAAAGCCCGGGGCUCAACCCCGGGAGGCGGGUGGAUACUGCUCAGCUCGAGUCCGGAAGAGGAGUGUGGAAUUCCUGGUGUAGCGGUGAAAUGCGCAGAUAUCGGGAGGAACACCAGUAGCGAAGGCGGCACUCUGGGCCGGUACUGACGCUGAGGAGCGAAAGCGUGGGGAGCGAACAGG